This 915-nucleotide ribosomal RNA is filed under the name Bolbitius reticulatus. RNAcentral's name for it is "eukaryotic LSU rRNA". It matches the Rfam family "Eukaryotic large subunit ribosomal RNA", at positions 47 to 949 of the family's 3401-position model. The record is from RNAcentral. Lineage: Eukaryota; Fungi; Basidiomycota; Agaricomycetes; Agaricales; Bolbitiaceae.
UAAGCGGAGGAAAAGAAACUAACAAGGAUUCCCCUAGUAACUGCGAGUGAAGCGGGAAAAGCUCAAAUUUAAAAUCUGGCAGUCUUUGGCUGUCCGAGUUGUAAACUAGAGAAGUGUUAUCCGCGCUGGACCGUGUAAAAGUCUCCUGGAAUGGAGCAUCAUAGAGGGUGAGAAUCCCGUCUUUGACAUGGACUACCAGUGCUUUGUGAUGCGCUCUCAAAGAGUCGAGUUGUUUGGGAAUGCAGCUCAAAAUGGGUGGUAAAUUCCAUCUAAAGCUAAAUAUUGGCGAGAGACCGAUAGCGAACAAGUACCGUGAGGGAAAGAUGAAAAGAACUUUGGAAAGAGAGUUAAACAGUACGUGAAAUUGCUGAAAGGGAAACGCUUGAAGUCAGUCGCGUUGGCCAGGAAUCAACCUUGCUUUUGCUGGGCGUACUUUCUGGUUGACGGGUCAGCAUCAAUUUUGACUGUUGGAAAAAGUUCAAGGGAAUGUGGCAUCUUCGGAUGUGUUAUAGCCCUCGUUCGCAUACAGCAGUUGGGAUUGAGGAACUCAGCACGCCGCAAGGCCGGGUUUCGACCACGUUCGUGCUUAGGAUGCUGGCAUAAUGGCUUUAAUCGACCCGUCUUGAAACACGGACCAAGGAGUCUAACAUGCCUGCGAGUGUUUGGGUGGAAAACCCAAGCGCGCAAUGAAAGUGAAAGUUGAGAUCCCUGUCGUGGGGAGCAUUGACGCCCGGACCAGACCUUUUGUGACGGAUCCGCGGUAGAGCAUGCAUGUUGGGACCCGAAAGAUGGUGAACUAUGCCUGAAUAGGGUGAAGCCAGAGGAAACUCUGGUGGAGGCUCGUAGCGAUUCUGACGUGCAAAUCGAUCGUCAAAUUUGGGUAUAGGGGCGAAAGACUAAUCGAACCAUCUAGUA